UACGGAGGAUGCGAGCGUUAUCCGGAUUUAUUGGGUUUAAAGGGUGCGUAGGUGGUGAUUUAAGUCAGCGGUGAAAGUUUGUGGCUCAACCAUAAAAUUGCCGUUGAAACUGGGUUACUUGAGUGUGUUUGAGGUAGGCGGAAUGCGUGGUGUAGCGGUGAAAUGCAUAGAUAUCACGCAGAACUCCAAUUGCGAAGGCAGCUUACUAAACCAUAACUGACACUGAAGCACGAAAGCGUGGGGAUCAAACAGG
Molecule: ribosomal RNA, 253 nt
Filed under: Parabacteroides merdae
Lineage: Bacteria; Pseudomonadati; Bacteroidota; Bacteroidia; Bacteroidales; Tannerellaceae
Description: partial 16S ribosomal RNA
Rfam family: Bacterial small subunit ribosomal RNA
Source: RNAcentral